ACGUGAUCCAGGCUUCGGCCUGGUGAUUGUGGCAGACGGGUGAGUAACGCGUGGGAACCUGCCCUGUGGUAGGGAAUAACCGCGGGAAACUGCGGCUAAGACCCUAUGAGUCCUUCGGGAGAAAGAUUAUCGCCAUAGGAGGGGCCCGCGUCGGAUUAGGUAGUUGGUGGGGUAACGGCCUACCAAGCCUUCGAUCCGUAGCUGGUCUGAGAGGAUGAUCAGCCACACUGGGACUGAGAUACAGCCCAGACUCCUACGGGAGGCAGCAGUGGGGAAUAUUGGACAAUGGGGGCAACCCUGAUCCAGCAAUGCCGCGUGGGUGAUGAAGGCCUUCGGGUUGUAAAGCCCUUUCGGCGGGGAAGAUGAUGACGGUACCCGCAGAAGAAGCCCCGGCUAACUUCGUGCCAGCAGCCGCGGUAAUACGAAGGGGGCUAGCGUUGCUCGGAAUUACUGGGCGUAAAGGGCGCGUAGGCUGUGCUGUAAGUCAGGCGUGACAGGCCCGGGCUCAACCUGGGAACUGCGUUUGAUACUGCGGCGCUGGAAUGCAGGAGAGGAUGGCGGAAUUCCCAGUGUAGAGGUG
RNAcentral lists this ribosomal RNA (580 nucleotides) under uncultured Skermanella sp. RNAcentral describes it as "bacterial SSU rRNA". It matches the Rfam family "Bacterial small subunit ribosomal RNA", at positions 66 to 683 of the family's 1533-position model. Lineage: Bacteria; Pseudomonadati; Pseudomonadota; Alphaproteobacteria; Rhodospirillales; Azospirillaceae. The record is from RNAcentral.